RNAcentral lists this microRNA precursor (109 nucleotides) under Olea europaea subsp. europaea. The record is from RNAcentral. Lineage: Eukaryota; Viridiplantae; Streptophyta; Magnoliopsida; Lamiales; Oleaceae.
CAAAGAAGCAUACAAGAGUGAUAUUGAUUCGGCUCAUCGCCCAACUGUUCAUGCAAAUUCAACAGAAAGUGCUGAGCCAAAAGCAAUAUCACGCCAUGUCUACUCCUCG